This is a long non-coding RNA of Pipra filicauda (Wire-tailed manakin), 305 nucleotides long. RefSeq lists it as uncharacterized. NCBI's taxonomy places the organism in Eukaryota, Metazoa, Chordata, Aves, Passeriformes, Pipridae. The record is from RefSeq and is a predicted model, not a curated record. The transcript is spliced from 3 exons.
UGGAGGUAACUCUCACCAUCAUCCUACAGAGCAAGUGGGAGAAUAUAUUCAUUAUUGUUUGCAAAACAGUCAGACUUCAUAACAGUACGUACCACAGAAAAGCCUGUAAAGAAGUUGAUAUCUUCAUCCUCACUUCAGGAUUUAUAGCACAGUCAUAGCAUGUAUCCUGAUGAGGAGGUAGCACAAUGUCCAUAAUCACACAACAGGCCAAGGGCAUGCCUAGGUAGAACAGGGCAGCUUGUAUGGUUUCCUCUAUGUCUCCCUGGAGAUCAUGGUUUCAAUAAAUUAGUUUCAUGUGGUUCUUA